CCUACGGGAGGCAGCAGUGGGGAAUAUUGGGCAAUGGGCGCAAGCCUGACCCAGCAACGCCGCGUGAAGGAAGAAGGCUUUCGGGUUGGAAAAUUCUUUUCGCAGGGACGAAGAAAGUGACGGUACCUGAGGAAUAAGCCACGGCUAACUACGUGCCAGCAGCCGCGGGAAUACGAAGGUGGCAAGCGUUAACCGGAUUGAUUGGGUGUAAAGGGCGUGGAGGCGGGAGCCGAAGGCAGAUGGGAAAACUCAGGGCUCAACCCUGGGCCCGCCUUUGAAACUGUGUUUCGUGAGUGCUGGGGAGGCAAUCGGAAUUCCGUGUGUAGCGGUGAAAUGCAUAGAUAUACCGAGGAACACCAGUGGCGAAGGCAGAUUGCUGGACCGUAACUGACGCUGAGGCGCGAAAGCGUGGGGAGCGAACAGGAUUAGAUACCCUAGUAGUC
Molecule: ribosomal RNA, 443 nt
Filed under: uncultured bacterium
Lineage: Bacteria
Description: partial 16S ribosomal RNA
Rfam family: Bacterial small subunit ribosomal RNA
Source: RNAcentral